This 466-nucleotide ribosomal RNA is filed under the name uncultured bacterium. RNAcentral's name for it is "partial 16S ribosomal RNA". It matches the Rfam family "Bacterial small subunit ribosomal RNA", at positions 28 to 507 of the family's 1533-position model. The record is from RNAcentral.
GAUGAACGCUGGCGGCGUGCUUAACACAUGCAAGUCGAACGAUGAAGCCCAGCUUGCUGGGUGGAUUAGUGGCGAACGGGUGAGUAACACGUGAGUAACCUGCCCUUAACUCUGGGAUAAGCCUGGGAAACUGGGUCUAAUACCGGAUAGGAGCGCCUACCGCAUGGUGGGUGUUGGAAAGAUUUAUCGGUUUUGGAUGGACUCGCGGCCUAUCAGCUUGUUGGUGAGGUAAUGGCUCACCAAGGCGACGACGGGUAGCCGGCCUGAGAGGGUGACCGGCCACACUGGGACUGAGACACGGCCCAGACUCCUACGGGAGGCAGCAGUGGGGAAUAUUGCACAAUGGGCGAAAGCCUGAUGCAGCGACGCCGCGUGAGGGAUGACGGCCUUCGGGUUGUAAACCUCUUUCAGUAGGGAAGAAGCGAGAGUGACGGUACCUGCAGAAGAAGCACCGGCUAACUACGUG